Sinocyclocheilus anshuiensis is the source of this 524-nucleotide long non-coding RNA. RefSeq lists it as uncharacterized. Lineage: Eukaryota; Metazoa; Chordata; Actinopteri; Cypriniformes; Cyprinidae. The transcript has 2 exons. The record is from RefSeq and is a predicted model, not a curated record.
UACUCCAAGCGCUCACGCUGCUUGCGACAUGAAAGAGAAACGCAUUCGCGACGUGAUGCAACAACAAGGCUCGCAUCUGAUGCAGAUAUGGUGUUAAGAUCACAAGGAAGGCAAUUAAUAUACUGUUUUUCACAACUUACCUGUUAUAUGUCAAAACAUCGAGGGAAAUUUGAUUUCUCAGUUCAUGACCCAGAACAAGUAAAUGUGAUUCAGACCUUUUCAGAACAAUCGUAUGAUGGUUUAUUAAUUCUGAAUUGCUUUAUUAUAGAUACAACAUCACUAUCCCGGCUCUGAAAGGCUGUGUGAAAAUCGGCACCGCCGGCGGCCCCACUCCGAGCGUUGAAGAGAAAGUGGGCAUCGGCAGAGGCUGCACUAAUGAGCUACUGAUGGUGAGGAAAGCUGAAUUCAGCCUCGGCAGUGCAUUGGAGAAACUCCAUGAAGACUUCAGCUUGGACGAUGUCAGUCUUUCUCUGGGCUUCAGGAGUACAAAACCAGACGGCAUCCUGCUGCAGAACAGCAAAAAU